RNAcentral lists this ribosomal RNA (545 nucleotides) under uncultured Gammaproteobacteria bacterium. Its description in RNAcentral is "bacterial SSU rRNA". It matches the Rfam family "Bacterial small subunit ribosomal RNA", at positions 355 to 896 of the family's 1533-position model. Lineage: Bacteria; Pseudomonadati; Pseudomonadota; Gammaproteobacteria. The record is from RNAcentral.
UGGGGAAUAUGCACAAUGGGCGCAAGCCUGAUGCAGCAAUGCCGCGUGUGUGAAGAAGGCUGCGGGUUGUAAAGCACUUUUAUUGGGAAAGAAAAACCCGGAGCUAAUACUCCGGCAUUGACGUACCCAAAGAAUAAGCACCGGCUAACUCAGUGCCAGCAGCCGCGGUAAUACUGAGGGUGCGAGCGUUAAUCGGAAUUACUGGGCGUAAAGGGAGUGUAGGCGGUUACUUAAGUCGGAUGUGAAAUCCCCGGGCUCAACCUGGGAAUUGCAUUCGAUACUGGGUAACUAGAGUUUGGUAGAGGUAAGUGGAAUUCCGGGUGUAGCGGUGAAAUGCGUAGAUAUCCGGAGGAACAUCAGUGGCGAAGGCGGCUUACUGGACCAAAACUGACGCUGAGGCUCGAAAGCGUGGGGAGCAAACAGGAUUAGAUACCCUGGCAGUCCACGCCCUAAACGAUGUCAACUAGACGUUGGGUUCAUUAAUGAACUUAGUGUCGCAGCUAACGCGUUAAGUUGACCGCCUGGGGAGUACGGCCGCAAGGUUG